RNAcentral lists this ribosomal RNA (502 nucleotides) under uncultured bacterium. Its description in RNAcentral is "bacterial SSU rRNA". It matches the Rfam family "Bacterial small subunit ribosomal RNA", at positions 8 to 507 of the family's 1533-position model. The record is from RNAcentral.
AGAGUUUGAUCAUGGCUCAGGAUGAACGCUAGCGGCAGGCCUAAUACAUGCAAGACGAACGGUAAGUUGAGUAGCAAUACUUAGCCAAGAGUGUCGUACGGGUGCGUAACACGUAUGCAACCUACCCUAUACAGGAGGAUAGCCUAGGGAAACCUGGAUUAACCUUCAUAGUAUUAUUGGAUGGCAUCAUUUGAUAAUUAAAACUGAGGUGGUAUAGGAUGGGCAUGCGUCUGAUUAGUUAGUUGGCGGGGUAAUGGCCCACCAAGACGAUGAUCAGUAGGGGUUCUGAGAGGAAGAUCCCCCACACUGGCACUGAGAUACGGGCCAGACUCCUACGGGAGGCAGCAGUAGGGAAUAUUGGUCAAUGGAUGCAAGUCUGAACCAGCCAUGCCGCGUGCAGGAAGAAGGCCUUCUGGGUUGUAAACUGCUUUUGCCAGGGGAUAAAAUUUCCAUGCGUGGAAAACUGAAGGUACCUGGUGAAUAAGCCACGGCUAACUACGUG